This is a long non-coding RNA of Homo sapiens (human), 710 nucleotides long. Ensembl annotates it as TTN antisense RNA 1. Its record names the gene TTN-AS1. The record is from Ensembl. Lineage: Eukaryota; Metazoa; Chordata; Mammalia; Primates; Hominidae.
AAAUGGGAACUGCGCAACCAUCUUUGGAGAUGUGAGAGGCUCUGAAAUGCCAAAUCGGUUUUCAGCACGGACCCGGAAGAUGUACUCCUGGCCUGGGAUCAGCUUUCCAACCCUGCAGGAAGUUUUUGUGACUGAAGCUAGAGCCGUGACCCAGUCACCUCGGCUUACAUCACACUUCUCCACUAUAUAAUUGGUGAUGUUACUGCCUCCGUCCUCCAGAGGGAUGUGCCAUGACAGGGAGCAAGCAUCAGCGUCUAUAUCAGAAAUGUCAAAUGGAGGCUGAGGGGGGCCGGGGGCAUCUACAUGAACCAAGAGGAAAGAAAUGUGGCUGCCAUGAGAUAGUCAUGUGUUCAGGAGUAACAUCCAGAAUAUUAAUAGGACCUGUUGGUGGCCCAGGAACAUCAAGAACAGUAAGAUGUACGGCUACUGUUUUGCUACCGGCUGCAUUGGAAACUGUGAUUUGAUAUUCCCCAGUGUCUCUCCUUAAGCAGUUCUUAAUGAGAAUAGACGCCUUGAUGGCUCCUCUGGCAGUUCUUGAUGACCAUGGAUGAGCUAAUGGCUGUGGUCUCAAUGGUGGCUUCUUGAGAUUAUUUACAGCUGUGAUGGUAUAUAAGCCAGUGUCACUCCUGCGAGACUGCGGAAUAACUAAAGUGCAAGUAUCAUCUACCACCAGUUUGUUGACAUGGGUGUCAUAGAGAACAGGUUCUUUG